This 165-nucleotide ribosomal RNA is filed under the name uncultured bacterium. RNAcentral describes it as "partial 16S ribosomal RNA". It matches the Rfam family "Bacterial small subunit ribosomal RNA", at positions 524 to 686 of the family's 1533-position model. The record is from RNAcentral.
UACGGAGGGUGCGAGCGUUAAUCGGAAUUACUGGGCGUAAAGCGCACGCAGGCGGUUUGUUAAGCAAGAUGUGAAAGCCCCGGGCUCAACCUGGGAACUGCAUUUUGAACUGGCAGACUAGAGUCUUGGAGAGGGGGGUGGAAUUCCGUGGUAGUGAUGGAUGAA